UACGAAGGUUGCAAGCGUUACUCGGAAUUACUAGGCGUAAAGGGUAGGUAGGUGGUUUGGAAAGUCUAUUGUGAAAGCUCCCGGCUCAACUGGGAGAGGCCAAUGGAUACUACCAGGCUUGAGUAUAGGAGAGGUUACUGGAAUUUACGGUGUAGCGGUGAAAUGCGUAGAUAUCGUAAGGAAGACCAGUGGCGAAGGCGGGUCUCUGGACAGUUCCUGACGCUGAGGCACGAAGGUCAGGGGAGCAAACGGG
RNAcentral lists this ribosomal RNA (253 nucleotides) under uncultured bacterium. RNAcentral's name for it is "partial 16S ribosomal RNA". It matches the Rfam family "Bacterial small subunit ribosomal RNA", at positions 524 to 776 of the family's 1533-position model. The record is from RNAcentral.